RNAcentral lists this ribosomal RNA (817 nucleotides) under uncultured bacterium. RNAcentral describes it as "SSU rRNA". It matches the Rfam family "Bacterial small subunit ribosomal RNA", at positions 505 to 1320 of the family's 1533-position model. The record is from RNAcentral.
GUGCCAGCCGCCGCGGUAAUACGAAGGGACCUAGCGUAGUUCGGAAUUACUGGGCUUAAAGAGUUCGUAGGUGGUUGAAAAAGUUAGUGGUGAAAUCCCAGAGCUUAACUCUGGAACUGCCAUUAAAACUUUUCAGCUAGAGUAUGAUAGAGGAAAGCAGAAUUUCUAGUGUAGAGGUGAAAUUCGUAGAUAUUAGAAAGAAUACCAAUUGCGAAGGCAGCUUUCUGGAUCAUUACUGACACUGAGGAACGAAAGCAUGGGUAGCGAAGAGGAUUAGAUACCCUCGUAGUCCAUGCCGUAAACGAUGUGUGUUAGACGUUGGAAAUUUAUUUUCAGUGUCGCAGGGAAACCGAUAAACACACCGCCUGGGGAGUACGACCGCAAGGUUAAAACUCAAAUGAAUUGACGGGGACCCGCACAAGUAGUGGAGCAUGUGGUUUAAUUCGAAGAUACGCGCAGAACCUUACCAACACUUGACAUGUUCGUCGCGACUCUAAGAGAUUAGAGUUUUCGGUUCGGCCGGACGAAACACAGGUGCUGCAUGGCUGUCGUCAGCUCGUGUCGUGAGAUGUUGGGUUAAGUCCCGCAACGAGCGCAACCCUCACUUUUAGUUGCCAUCAUUUAGUUGGGCACUCUGAAAGAACUGCCAGUGAUAAGCUGGAGGAAGGGUGGGGGAUGACGUCAAGUCCUCAUGGCCCUUACGUGUUGGGCUACACACGUGCUACAAUGGUAUCUACAACAGGAAGCAAGACUGCGAAGUUAAGCAAAUCCCUAAAAGAUACCUCAGUUCGGAUUGCACUCUUGCAACUCGAGUGCA